GGAACUGUCAUGCGGGCUGACAGCUGGCACACCCUCCUGUCGCCCUCCACCCGCCUGCAGAAAGCCCACUCCCUACAGUCACCUUGACAUUGCUCACCUGCCUGGGCCUCAGCCCAUGACCAAGGAAACUUUUGCCCUCCCUCCCCAGGAGCUCACUUACAGGCCAUCUUCAAAGGUACUGCCUACCUGAACCUGCCUUGUCCCAAAGGACACACUUCAAUCUGGGGAGAGUUUAAAGUUGUAGACAUAUCCAUUUUCAUUUAAGGAAUAUGAAGAUCAGGGAGGCAAAAUAUAGAGAUAUAGAGAGGAAAAACUGAGAGAUGAUCAGAAAUUCAGACGCAUUCGGAAUGAGCACCCUUGACCAUACCAAGAACAAAGACUCUAUAAAAAUGUGAAGUCUUAUUAUUGUUCAUCCAUGUUCUACGUGGGAUCCACCCAAGACAUUGAAAACUGUACAGAACAGGGUGAAAUUGAAUCAGAUCAUUCUGUACUCCUAACAAGGUCCACCCCAUGAGAGACUUGCAGCAGAAUUAAUGACACUGUAUAUUUUCCUCUACUAACAACAACAAGAACAACAACAACAACAAUCUAGGAAAAUCAAAGGCAGCCCGACAUGGAAAAAAACACAAAAUGAAUAUUUGGAUUACAAAUAGUGUGAUGGGAAGAACACACUGCCAAAAGUCCACCUAGUAUGUUGAAAUUACUGUUUCUAGCACAUAUAAGGUAUGAUUUUUUAAUGUUUUAAACAUUCAUUAUUGGCUACUUUAACUAUUUUUCCUUGGUAACUGCAGCAGAAAUUGAAAAAUGAUAGAAAAGCAGAAAAGAAUGGCAUAACUUAUCAGAUAUAUGUAAGUGUGUAAACUUUGGGUUUUAUUGUUUAGCUCAUCUAGUAACUUGGGAAAAUAAUAGCUAUUCCAUAAGAUUGUUGAGAAAAUUAAAUGAGAGAACACAGUUAACAGACUUAGCUGAAUGUGUAGCAUAUAGAGGGCACUCAGGCAUCCCUGGCAUACAGGUAUGAGUCUGCAAUUAACAAGGUAAUGGAAAGAGUGUUGCAGAUCUCUGACCGAAGUAUUUUCUCCUGGGCUUACAGUAUUUAUCAGCUAUCAUAAUACAAAUUUGCUGCCAAUUUGUACUGACUUCUGAAAAAUACUUUAUCCAUUGUCUUCUUACAUCAGAAUCAACUCCCUAAAUUCUUCAGCACUGGCUUUGUAAACUGGUUUCUGGUCUUUGUUUCUGUCAACUUACCUAUAAAAGGAUACAAAAACUGAAGAACAGAGAGGAGCAGAUACCCUGGAAAGCCGAAAGUUUUAUUGACCAAAGACUGAGUCUCGGAAUGUUUUGAUUGUGGAGUUUAUAGAGUUCAGGCUGAAGUUUUAUAAAAAUAACUUGCAGCAGCAUGGAGGACUGAUGAGAAAGUAGACAGAUGCUGGAAGCAGGAAAACUGAACAGCAGGUCACUGGCCAAGGAGAAUCAAAGAGCUAGAUGCUGAGAAUAAUGCAGCCAUAACGUGAAAUCUUUUUGAGACCACUCACUCUGGGAGAAAGCAACUGGCUAUGUCAUGAGGAAAUUGAAACCACCUAUGGAGAAAGGCCCACAUGGUGAGAAAGUAAAGCCUCUUCCCAAUACCAAAAUUCUGUAAGUCUGCUACGGUGACAUUUCUGGUUAGGAGUCAGAGUGGAUGGGACACUGAGCAAUAAGAAUGCAGAGACAUGAUGGCUGAAGCUGGAGCUUUUCCCUGAAGCAACCACCUGUUGGAAACUUCAUGUUGAAGAUGACUGAAUAAUAAGACAGAGGGGUCUGGGUCCCUGGUGGAUAUUCCAGAUCUGGGUGUUCGUGGAGAUAUGAGAAAGCAAUAAACUUCAAUUUUGCUUAAAUAGCUGUUACUUGGGGCAUUCUGUCAUUUAUGGACA
Molecule: long non-coding RNA, 1910 nt
Filed under: Homo sapiens (human)
Lineage: Eukaryota; Metazoa; Chordata; Mammalia; Primates; Hominidae
Description: HSALNT0306917
Source: RNAcentral